GAUGAACGCUGGCGGCGUGCCUAAUACAUGCAAGUCGAGCGAACGGACGAGAAGCUUGCUUCUCUGAUGUUAGCGGCGGACGGGUGAGUAACACGUGGAUAACCUACCUAUAAGACUGGGAUAACUUCGGGAAACCGGAGCUAAUACCGGAUAAUAUUUUGAACCGCAUGGUUCAAAAGUGAAAGACGGUCUUGCUGUCACUUAUAGAUGGAUCCGCGCUGCAUUAGCUAGUUGGUAAGGUAACGGCUUACCAAGGCAACGAUGCAUAGCCGACCUGAGAGGGUGAUCGGCCACACUGGAACUAAGACACGGUCCAGACUCCUACGGGAGGCAGCAGUAGGGAAUCUGCCGCAAUGGGCGAAAGCCUGACGGAGCAACGCCGCGUGAGUGAUGAAGGUCUUCGGAUCGUAAAACUCUGUUAUUAGGGAAGAACAUAUGUGUAAGUAACUGUGCACAUCUUGACGGUACCUAAUCAGAAAGCCACGGCUAACUACGUG
This 497-nucleotide ribosomal RNA is filed under the name uncultured bacterium. RNAcentral's name for it is "partial 16S ribosomal RNA". It matches the Rfam family "Bacterial small subunit ribosomal RNA", at positions 28 to 507 of the family's 1533-position model. The record is from RNAcentral.